CCUACGGGAGGCAGCAGUGGGGAAUAUUGGACAAUGGGGGGAACCCUGAUCCAGCGCCGCCGCGUGAGUGAAGAAGUAUUUCGGUAUGUAAAGCUCUAUCAGCAGGGAAGAAAGAAAUGACGGUACCUGACUAAGAAGCCCCGGCUAACUACGUGCCAGCAGCCGCGGUGAUACGCAGGGGGCAAGAGUUAUCCGGAUUUACUGGGGGUACAGGGAGCGUAGGCGGCGAUGCAAGUCUGAAGUGAAAGGCGGGGGCCCAACCCCCGGACUGCUUUGGAAACUGUAUGGCUGGAGUGCAGGAGAGGUAAGUGGCAGUCCUAGUGUAGCGGUGAAAUGCGUAUAUAGUAGGAGGACCACCAGUGGCGAAGGCGGCUUACUGGACUGUAACUGACGUUGAGGCUCGAAAGCGUGGGGAGCAAACAGGAUUAGAUACCCCGGUAGUC
This 443-nucleotide ribosomal RNA is filed under the name uncultured bacterium. Its description in RNAcentral is "partial 16S ribosomal RNA". It matches the Rfam family "Bacterial small subunit ribosomal RNA", at positions 338 to 795 of the family's 1533-position model. The record is from RNAcentral.